UUUUCUGUGGGGCUGGAGAUUAAAUUCAUAGCCUUGUGUGUGCUAGGCAAAUGCUCACCAUGCACCGCCCCCGCCUCCAUUCCCAAUGCUUAUAUAAGCUCACGCAUCCACCGUUCACCUCCCGUUCACUAUCCAAGUCCCCUUCAGCAUGGUCCGUGUAUAUAGAUAUGUAUUUUCAUAGCCACCUCUUCCUCAGGGUCUCCCCAGCAUGCCUUUCUGCUGCUUCUGUCUCCCUGAGGCUUCUCUAUUCAUUUAUUUUGUGAGAUUGUAUCCCUCAGCAUCUAGCCUUCAGCCAUCUUUGAAUGGUGGAUAGCUAGCUGGUCUCCGAGCGUCUGUCCUGUCCUCCACAGUUCAUUGACCUUCCCAGUGUGACAUUUUAAAGCAAAGCCUGGGCAAGAUUAUUGCCCAGGGUUUCUCUAACAUCUAACCCAUUCCUGGACUAUCUCCCUGCCUCCUUUUUAAACUUAACUUUUAGUGUGAAAUCAUCUUUGUUGACGGUUGUAUCAUAUGUUGACAGCAGCCAUCCACAGAGUGGUUUCUGUCUCCUGUUGCUUGCUGGAUAUUUUGUUUCCAACUAUUUGUUUGUUCCGAUUUAUUUUGGUUUGUAGGUGUUUCUUGUCCUGGUUGAGGCACUGUGACUAUAUAAGAAGAGAGUGUAAAAUUACUUCACAGGCAAUGGAGCCAGGGCUUGGUUUUAUCCUCCACAGCUAUAAUGGUUAUGAAAACACAAGAGAGGGCUGGAGAGAUGGCUUAGUGGUUAAGAGCACUGACUGCUCUUCCAGAGGUCCCGAGUUCAAAUCCCAGCAACCACAUGGUGGCUCAUAACCAUCUGUAAUAGGAUCUGAUGCCCUUUUCUGGUGUGUCUGAAGACAGCUACAGUGUACCUAUAUACAUAUAAUAAAUAAUUCUAAAAAAAAAAAAAGAAUACACAAGAGAUAGCAAGGGACCUGGUUCACAGCUCUUCCUAUUUCUUUAAGACACUCACAGAAAGGACGAUAUCUUUCAUCAAGCACCUUUGCCAGGACCUUCCCACCCUUUAUCUCAUUAUGCAAAUCAGACCAGACCCGUAGACUGUGGCCUGAAGCUAGAUUAGAGAUACAGAAGGGAGAGAGAUUCACAGCAAUGAAAAUCCAGAAUUCCACAGCUGUGCUACCCGCAUUAUCAAACACGUUCCCACACGAUCCCAACAAGGCUACCCAUAAAUCGUCUGAGGUUUGCUAAUUUAUUUGUCAAUUUAUGGAGCUUAUAAUUAGUAGUAGGGUGUGGGAUUUAAGAUAUUCUUUUAUACCUGAGAACAGAUCACAGAGAGAAAGAUUGUAGUUAGAUAAGAGCUGGUAACAAACAACUCUGACCCACACUGAAGAUCAGGAGAGCUUCCCCAAGAAACAACAUGUGGCUGACAGAGGUGGCGCACACCUUUAAUCCCAGCUCUCCAGGGUCAGAGGCAGGCGGAUCUCUGAGUUCAAGGCUAGCCUGGUCUGCAGAGUGAGUUCCAGGACAGCCAGGGCUACACAGAGAAAGCCUGUCUCAAAAACAAGCAAGCAAGCGAACAGAGGAAAAGCAGCAGCAUGUGAGUUGAGACCUCAGUGAAGGGUAGACAAGAGCCCUGAGAGAGAACAGGAAACCUUGAAGGUUUGCGUUUUGAAAAGUUUAAUCUGCCUUCAAUGUCGUGAACAUGUUGGAGGGGUCCAGGGGGGAUGAAUUGAGAAUAGUUCAGAAGCUGUAACUGACGUCUGAACAAGAGGUGGUUGUGGCCUUGCUGGUAUGCUAGCCGGAUAGGAAGAGAAAAUGGGUCCAUUUAAUAUGGACUGAGGGUGUCCUGACAAGUUAAAUAAGGUGAUGACUAAGGUCUUAGGGUGGUAUUCUGGGCAUGUGAGAUGCCUAACGGAACCAUACCAUGUCACCUUUGGAAGCAGGGAUGAGUGGGAGUGGGAGAAGUCACAGGAGAGAUUUGUGGCACGAGACAAUGAGAUGUAUGUACCAAGCAGGAACUCCAAGGAGACACACAGGCUGAGGGUGGGCACUUAGGAGUUACCGUUAUGAAAUAGUAAAUUCAACCCUAAACAUGGACGAGACUAGCCAGGGAGGACAGAAGACUGAGAGAUGCCCGUGACUGAGCUACGCCCUCUCUCCAGUCUUUUAAAAGCAAACUCCUUUCUGAGGAAAUACUCACUUCUUAAAACAGAAAGCUGAUCUGUCAACAGAAGAAGCAGAUGUACCCUGCGGCGUGCGUACACAGGAACACUAUUUAAAAUGCGGGGUCAAACGUCGCUUCAAAGAAGAGUCAUCGGAAGCGUAACCUGAUAUGGACACCACCUUGGCUUCGUCCAGGGCCACCUGUGUUACCAGCCCUUUUGUCCCGUCCCUCCACCUCCCCGAAGGGAUGAAUUUGGAAGCCCUCUUCUUCAUCUAAGAUCCCAGCCCUCACAGAGUGACACACAGACUCACCCAGCACAUGGCACUUUCUCUCGUAACCGAAAGCUGAUUAAUACCACGGCCUGGAAUCAGUCAUGAGCAGUCAAGGCCUCCUCCCCUUUCACAAGAAACCUGGAAAGGGACAGCGGGUUCGAGGCAGAAGACGGACUCCUGGGAGUCAUUGUAUUCUCCCUUCAGGCUGCGGGGUAGUGUCCCUCAUAUCCCGCUCCUGUCCUUUCAGAAUUCGGUGCUUGGGAGAGACACGCGACUUACCUGUGCCUCCAUUCAUCUCGGUCUCAAGAGUUAAGCAGUUUGGGAUAACAAACUUAAAUUCCUAUAACAUCGUCUAGACGCUCCUGAGCACUGUCAGCUAAGACACUGGUUUUGUUUGAUUUGUUUUUUUCUUUGAAAAGGGGGUGGGGUGUGGACAAAGUGUAAAGGCUCUAGCAUCCAAGUCUGCUGACCGGAGUUUGAUCCUUGGAGCUUUCUUGGUGGAAGGAGGGAAUUAAUUCUGGAAAUUGCCCUCUGGUCUUCUCCUGAGUGCUGUGGUGUACAUGUGCAAACACACGCAUACACUCACUAAAUAAAUAAAUGAUUUUUUAAAAGCUUUAA
Molecule: non-coding RNA, 3027 nt
Organism: Rattus norvegicus (Norway rat)
Lineage: Eukaryota; Metazoa; Chordata; Mammalia; Rodentia; Muridae
Source: RefSeq, a predicted model, not a curated record